Molecule: ribosomal RNA, 768 nt
Filed under: Triticum aestivum (bread wheat)
Lineage: Eukaryota; Viridiplantae; Streptophyta; Magnoliopsida; Poales; Poaceae
Description: partial small subunit ribosomal RNA
Source: RNAcentral
AUGUGUGGCCGCAAAGGAGAAGGGGGAAUGGGUUUUAGGGACUUUGAAUUAUUCAACCAAGCGCUUCUAGCAAAGCAGGUGUGGCGAAUCCUCAUGGUACCCGGGUCGCUAUGCGCGAGGGUCCUUAAGGCUAGGUACUUUCAAGACAGGGACAUCAUGUCUACUACAUGCCCCAAAGGAGCCUCAUAUACAUGGCGAAGCUUGAUACAUGGCAGGGAUUUACUCAUGCAUGGACUAGUCUGGAGAAUAGGAGAUGGCUCUAAAGUUAAUGUGUAUCAUGACAACUGGAUACCUCGCAGCGGCAGCAUAGUACCACUGGGUGCUGAGUUUGAUCCUCAAACGACCAAAGUAGCAAACCUAUUGAACGCCCAAGGCUCGGGGUGGGAUGAGAUGAAGAUUAACAUGAUCUUCUAUGCCACGGACGCUGCUAAUAUCAAGCAAAUUGUUGUAGGAGGAACCGGCAAAGAGGAUUACAGGGCAUGGAACUUCACUAAAUCGGGCAUGUUCACUGUCAUAUCGGCGUACCAUCUUGGGGUCUCAAUGCAGAGAGCAAAAUGGGGAAUGGCUUCAUGCUCUAAUCCGGUAGCAGAUCACAGGAGCUUCUUGCAGCUAUGGGGGGCCGAUGUCCCUAAUAAAGUGAAGAUACACACAUGGAGAAUGCUCUCGAAUGGUUUGGCUAUUGGAAUGGAACUGCGGCGACGACGGAUUAAACAGGGGAUCUUUUGCAUUGCGUGUGGGCGCGAGGAAUCCAUAGCCCAUCUGUUCUAG